Molecule: ribosomal RNA, 699 nt
Filed under: uncultured bacterium
Lineage: Bacteria
Description: bacterial SSU rRNA
Rfam family: Bacterial small subunit ribosomal RNA
Source: RNAcentral
AAACUACUAAACUAGAGGCUGGGAGAGGUAAGCGGAAUUGCCGGUGUAGGGGUCAAAUCCGUUAAUAUCGGCAGGAACACCAAAUGCGAAGGCAGCUUACUAGCACAGUCCUGACACUAAUACACGAAAGCGUGGGGAGCGAAGCGGAUUAGAUACCCGCGUAGUCCACGCCGUAAACGAUGCGUACUAGACAUUGGAAGUAUCGACCCUUCCAGUGUCGUUUAACAAAGGUAACCCGUUAAGUACGCCGCCUGGGGAGUACGAGCGCAAGCUUAAAACUCAAAGGAAUUGACGGGGACUCGCACAGGCGGUGGAGCAUGUGGUUUAAUUCGACGAUAAGCGAAAAACCUUACCAAGGCUUGACAUUUAGCUGCAAGCCUCCAGAAACGGAGGCCGCCUUCGAGGGUGCUAAAACAGGUGCUGCAUGGUUGCCGUCAGCUCGUGUCGUGAGAUGUACGGUUAAGUCCGGAAACGAGCGCAACCCUUAUCCUGAUUUAUACUUUAUUAGGAAACUGCCUGGGACAACCAGGAGGAAGGUGGGGAUGACGUCAAAUCAGCAUGGCUCUUACGCCUUGGGCUACACACAUGCUACAAUGGCCAGCACAAAGGGUUGCAAAACCGCAAGGUGAAGCUAAUCCCAUCAAAGCUGGUCUCAGUUCGGAUUGUGGUCUGAAACUCGUCCGCAUGAAGCUGGAAUCG